Tachyglossus aculeatus (Australian echidna) is the source of this 308-nucleotide long non-coding RNA. RefSeq lists it as uncharacterized. NCBI's taxonomy places the organism in Eukaryota, Metazoa, Chordata, Mammalia, Monotremata, Tachyglossidae. The transcript has 3 exons. The record is from RefSeq and is a predicted model, not a curated record.
CUCAAUAAAUCCCACUGAUUGAUUGCUAGCAUUCCCGAGGCCGGUGCUGGGAUGUGUUUCAGCACAGCUCCACAGCCAACUGACCAGGAUCAACACAGGAAGAAGGAAGAGGGCAAGGCUUGAGCGGAGCUCACAGCUCGGAACUGAAGGCUAAGAAACCAGUUACAUGACCUGCAGUUAUCUAGGCAGAAGUUUCCCAAAUUCAAUCUAGUUUGGAUCGCCUCGAUUAAGAAGCUUAAUUUUGACCAAGGGAACCAAGCCGUUUGCUUAAAGCCAAGUGUACGAUUGACUGAAAAGGGAGAUGGAGC